GCGGGGGUGCCAGAGCCUGGUCAAUCUUCGUAAGAAGGACUAUAUGGGCAGGACUUAAGAUCCUGUGGCUAAGGCCUACGCAGGUUCAAAUAUAAGAACCUAGGUUAUUAUCAACUCCUAGACUUAUGAGAAAAUCCUGUCCCCCGCA
This 148-nucleotide transfer RNA is filed under the name Candidatus Woesearchaeota archaeon. Its description in RNAcentral is "tRNA-Leu". Lineage: Archaea; Nanobdellati; Candidatus Woesearchaeota. The record is from RNAcentral.